GUACUUAUGGAUGGACCCGCGUCGCAUUAGCUAGUUGGUGAGGUAACGGCUCACCAAGGCAACGAUGCGUAGCCGACCUGAGAGGGUGAUCGGCCACACUGGGACUGAGACACGGCCCAGACUCCUACGGGAGGCAGCAGUAGGGAAUCUUCCGCAAUGGACGAAAGUCUGACGGAGCAACGCCGCGUGAGUGAUGAAGGCUUUCGGGUCGUAAAACUCUGUUGUAGGGAAGAACAAGUGCUAGUUGAAUAAGCUGGCACCUUGACGGUACCUAACCAGAAAGCCACGGCUAACUACGUGCCAGCAGCCGCGGUAAUACGUAGGUGCAAGCGUUAUCCGGAAUUAUUGGGCGUAAAGCGCGCGCAGGUGGUUUCUUAAGUCUGAUGUGAAAGCCCACGGCUCAACCGUGGAGGGUCAUUGGAAACUGGGAGACUUGAGUGCAGAAGAGGAAAGUGGAAUUUCCAUGUGUAGCGGUGAAAUGCGUAGAGAUAUGGAGGAACACCAGUGGCGAAGGCGACUUUCUGGUCUGUAACUACACUGAGGCGCGAAAGCGUGGGGAGCAACAGGAUUAGAUACCCUGGUAGUCCACGCCGUAAACGAUGAGUGCUAAGUGUUAGAGGGUUUCCGCCCUUUAGUGCUGAAGUUAACGCAUUAAGCACUCCGCCUGGGGGAGUACGGCCGCAAGGCUGAAACUCAAAGGAAUUGACGGGGGCCCGCCAAG
RNAcentral lists this ribosomal RNA (721 nucleotides) under Bacillus cereus. RNAcentral describes it as "bacterial SSU rRNA". It matches the Rfam family "Bacterial small subunit ribosomal RNA", at positions 215 to 929 of the family's 1533-position model. The record is from RNAcentral. Lineage: Bacteria; Bacillati; Bacillota; Bacilli; Caryophanales; Bacillaceae.